GACGAACGCUGGCGGCGUGCUUAACACAUGCAAGUCGAACGAAGAGCGAUGGAAGCUUGCUUCUAUCAAUCUUAGUGGCGAACGGGUGAGUAACGCGUAAUCAACCUGCCCUUCAGAGGGGGACAACAGUUGGAAACGACUGCUAAUACCGCAUACGAUCCAAUCUCGGCAUCGGGACUGGAUGAAAGGUGGCCUCUAUUUAUAAGCUAUCACUGAAGGAGGGGAUUGCGUCUGAUUAGCUAGUUGGAGGGGUAACGGCCCACCAAGGCGAUGAUCAGUAGCCGGUCUGAGAGGAUGAACGGCCCAAAUGGGACUGGGAAACGGCCCAGACUCCUACGGGAGGCAGCAGUGGGGAAUCUUCCGCAAUGGAGGGAAGGCUGAAGGGGCAAAGCCGCGUGAGGGAUGACGGGCUUCGGGUUGGAAAGCUCUGUUAAUCGGGACGAAUGGUACUUGUGCGAAUAGUGCGAGGAUUUGACGGUACCGGAAUAGAAAGCCACGGCUAACUACGUG
This 510-nucleotide ribosomal RNA is filed under the name uncultured bacterium. Its description in RNAcentral is "partial 16S ribosomal RNA". It matches the Rfam family "Bacterial small subunit ribosomal RNA", at positions 28 to 507 of the family's 1533-position model. The record is from RNAcentral.